GGCCGCGGGAAUUCGGCGCAGGCCUAACACAUGCAAGUCGAACGGCAGCACGGAGCUUGCUCUGGUGGAGAAUGGCGAACGGGUGAGUAAUAUAUCGGAACGUACCCUGGAGUGGGGGAUAACGUAGCGAAAGUUACGCUAAUACCGCAUACGAUCUACGGAUGAAAGUGGGGGAUCGCAAGACCUCAUGCUCGUGGAGCGGCCGAUAUCUGAUUAGCUAGUUGGUAGGGUAAAAGCCUACCAAGGCAUCGAUCAGUAGCUGGUCUGAGAGGACGACCAGCCACACUGUUGGGGGGACACGGUCCAGACUCCUACGGGAGGCAGCAGUGGGGAAUUUUGGACAAUGGGCGA
Molecule: ribosomal RNA, 351 nt
Filed under: uncultured bacterium
Lineage: Bacteria
Description: bacterial SSU rRNA
Rfam family: Bacterial small subunit ribosomal RNA
Source: RNAcentral